GACGAACGCUGGCGGCGUGCCUAAUACAUGCCAGUUGAGCGCUGAAGGUUGGUACUUGUACCGACUGGAUGAGCAGCGAACGGGUGAGUAACGCGUGGGGAAUCUGCCUUUGAGCGGGGGACAACAUUUGGAAACGAAUGCUAAUACCGCAUAAAAACUUUAAACACAAGUUUUAAGUUUGAAAGAUGCAAUUGCAUCACUCAAAGAUGAUCCCGCGUUGUAUUAGCUAGUUGGUGAGGUAAAGGCUCACCAAGGCGAUGAUACAUAGCCGACCCGAGAGGGUGAUCGGCCACAUUGGGACUGAGACACGGCCCAAACUCCUACGGGAGGCAGCAGUAGGGAAUCUUCGGCAAUGGACGAAAGUCUGACCGAGCAACGCCGCGUGAGUGAAGAAGGUUUUCGGAUCGUAAAACUCUGUUGGUAGAGAAGAACGUUGGUGAGAGUGGAAAGCUCAUCAAGUGACGGUAACUACCCAGAAAGGGACGGCUAACUACGUG
RNAcentral lists this ribosomal RNA (497 nucleotides) under uncultured bacterium. RNAcentral describes it as "partial 16S ribosomal RNA". It matches the Rfam family "Bacterial small subunit ribosomal RNA", at positions 28 to 507 of the family's 1533-position model. The record is from RNAcentral.